AUAUGAAGCUCCAAAGGAUCUUAUUAAAACGCAGUUUCUGACUCUAGGUCUAGGAUGGGACCUGAGAAUCUGCAUUCUAGCUCCCAGGUGAUGCCAAU
Molecule: microRNA precursor, 98 nt
Filed under: Marmota monax (woodchuck)
Lineage: Eukaryota; Metazoa; Chordata; Mammalia; Rodentia; Sciuridae
Source: RNAcentral